Molecule: ribosomal RNA, 979 nt
Filed under: Aspergillus sp. BAP14
Lineage: Eukaryota; Fungi; Ascomycota; Eurotiomycetes; Eurotiales; Aspergillaceae
Description: bacterial SSU rRNA
Rfam family: Eukaryotic small subunit ribosomal RNA (bases 1-559)
Source: RNAcentral
AGGGUGGGAUGGGUCGUCUCACUAUAUGCAUCUAUACUGUGAAACUGCGAAUGGCUCAUUAAAUCAGUUAUCGUUUAUUUGAUAGUACCUUACUACAUGGAUACCUGUGGUAAUUCUAGAGCUAAUACAUGCUAAAAACCCCGACUUCGGGAGGGGUGUAUUUAUUAGAUAAAAAACCAAUGCCCCUCGGGGCUCCUUGGUGAAUCAUAAUAACUUAACGAAUCGCAUGGCCUUGCGCCGGCGAUGGUUCAUUCAAAUUUCUGCCCUAUCAACUUUCGAUGGGAGGAUAGUGGCCUACCAUGGUGGCAACGGGUAACGGGGAAUUAGGGUUCGAUUCCGGAGAGGGAGCCUGAAAAACGGCUACCACAUCCAAGGAAGGCAGCCGGCGCGCAAAUUACCCAAUCCCGACACGGGGAGGUAGUGACAAUAAAUACUGAUACGGGGCUCUUUUGGGUCAAGAAAUUGGAAUGACCACCAUCUAAAUCCUUUAAAGAGGAACCAUUGGAGGGCAAUUCUGAUGUCGGCAGCAGCGGUGAAUCCCGCUCCUGUAGCGUAUAUUAAAGCUGUAGCCUCGACACAGUGGUGUAGCUCUACCUUGAGUUUGGCUAGUCAGCCCUGCUGCCACCGUGCUCCCCGCAGACUAGAACUUUGUUUUUUCUAAUAUGCCGAGAGCGUCUUCAUCAUAAACGCACCCCAGAUCUAUUGUCGACAAAUUAUAGUGAUGACUAUACGACGGUCUGAGCACGUACUAUCCCGCAAAAUCGAUCCCGAGUAAAGGGAAAUCUUCUUGGGUAAGUGUUCGCACGUAUGUAUGUUUACCGAAAGUCAAGAAUGUCCCUCUCGCACUGUAUAACUGACUCCCCGACAUAGCUAAUGAUUACUUACGCCGUUCCCUAUAAACCAACCAAGUAAAACUGACGUGCAUUUCAUUAAUGCAAGGUAGUAUCGAGACAAAGCUGCUUGAAACACUUCAAUUUUU